Molecule: ribosomal RNA, 397 nt
Filed under: uncultured bacterium
Lineage: Bacteria
Description: bacterial SSU rRNA
Rfam family: Bacterial small subunit ribosomal RNA
Source: RNAcentral
CUACUCUUGACAUCCACGGAAUUCGCCAGAGAUGGCUUAGUGCCUUCGGGAACCGUGAGACAGGUGCUGCAUGGCUGUCGUCAGCUCGUGUUGUGAAAUGUUGGGUUAAGUCCCGCAACGAGCGCAACCCUUAUCCUUUGUUGCCAGCACGUAAUGGUGGGAACUCAAAGGAGACUGCCGGUGAUAAACCGGAGGAAGGUGGUGACGUCAAGUCCUCAUGGCCCUUACGGGCUGGGCUACACACGUGCUACAAUGGUGGUGACAGUGGGCAGCGAGACCGCGAGGUCGAGCUAAUCUCCAAAAGCCAUCUCAGUUCGGAUUGCACUCUGCAACUCGAGUGCAUGAAGUUGGAAUCGCUAGUAAUCGCGGAUCAGCACGCCGCGGUGAAUACGUUCCC